Molecule: non-coding RNA, 510 nt
Organism: Taeniopygia guttata (zebra finch)
Lineage: Eukaryota; Metazoa; Chordata; Aves; Passeriformes; Estrildidae
Source: RefSeq, a predicted model, not a curated record
UUCUGUUCCUGUCUUGUUCUUGUCAUGUCUUCUGAACUUGGAGCCUCUGUGGGCAGAAUUCCCUGUCCCUGUACAAAGAUUCAGCAAAAUGUUGUGAGUCUGCUGAGGAUUGUAGAGAUCUCCUUUAGUCAUAGUGCUCCACCUGGGGUCUAACGCAUCAGGCUCUUUGCCUCAGUCAUCUGAGCUCCCAUCCAUGCUGUUUUGCUGUCCAGGCAAUUGGGAACCUUCUUAACAUGCACAUACUUUAAAUUGUUUGAAGCUUGUUCAUUUUGAAAUGAGAUCAAUAAGAGCAAUUACCCAGUCUAUGUUGUUCAGUCUUUCUAGAAGCAACUUACUGAAGACAAAAGCCGAGAAUGAACAGCUUUUGUUUGAAAAUACAAAUCUCAAGAAAAACUUGGAAAUAAGCAGGCCAACUGCACAGGAAUUAAAAUUUUACAAGCACCAAGUGAAGAAACUACAGAAAGCUUUAAAGAAAACUAUCCAAUUUUCAGGGAACAGGACUGGGGAAAA